UACGAUAAGUUAACUCAUCCGAUUGA
Molecule: non-coding RNA, 26 nt
Filed under: Bombyx mori (domestic silkworm)
Lineage: Eukaryota; Metazoa; Arthropoda; Insecta; Lepidoptera; Bombycidae
Source: RNAcentral